This 59-nucleotide transfer RNA is filed under the name Phyllomyza sp. Its description in RNAcentral is "tRNA-Ser". The record is from RNAcentral. Lineage: Eukaryota; Metazoa; Arthropoda; Insecta; Diptera; Milichiidae.
GAAAUAUACUAAAAAAGCUGCUAACUUUUUAUUUAAUGAAUAAAAUCAUUUUUAUUUCU